UACAGAGGUCCCAAGCGUUGUUCGGAUUCACUGGGCGUAAAGGGUGCGUAGGCGGUCGGGUAAGUCUGAUGUGAAAUCUCCAAGCUCAACUUGGAAAUGGCAUCGGAUACUAUCCGGCUUGAGGAGUGGAGGGGGGACUGGAAUUCUCGGUGUAGCAGUGAAAUGCGUAGAUAUCGAGAGGAACACCAGUGGCGAAGGCGAGUCCCUGGACACUUCCUGACACUGAGGCACGAAAGCUAGGGGAGCAAACAGG
This 253-nucleotide ribosomal RNA is filed under the name uncultured bacterium. RNAcentral's name for it is "partial 16S ribosomal RNA". It matches the Rfam family "Bacterial small subunit ribosomal RNA", at positions 524 to 776 of the family's 1533-position model. The record is from RNAcentral.